AGUGAACGCUGGCGGUAGGCCUAACACAUGCAAGUCGAACGGCAGCACAGGAGAGCUUGCUCUCUGGGUGGCGAGUGGCGGACGGGUGAGGAAUACAUCGGAAUCUACUUUUUCGUGGGGGAUAACGUAGGGAAACUUACGCUAAUACCGCAUACGGCCUACGGGUGAAAGCAGGGGACCUCCGGGCCUUGCGCGAUUGAAUGAGCCGAUGUCGGAUUAGCUAGUUGGCGGGGUAAAGGCCCACCAAGGCGGCGAUCCGUAGCUGGUCUGAGAGGAUGAUCAGCCACACUGGAACUGGGACACGGGCCAGGCUCCUACGGGGGGCAGCAGUGGGGAAUAUUGGACAAUGGGCGCAAGCCUGAUCCAGCCAUACCGCGUGGGUGAAGAAGGCCUUCGGGUUGUAAAGCCCUUUUGUUGGGAAAGAAAUCCAGCUGGCUAAUACCCGGUUGGGAUGACGGUACCCAAAGAAUAAGCACCGGCUAACUUCGUGCCAGCCGCCGCAGUAA
Molecule: ribosomal RNA, 506 nt
Filed under: uncultured bacterium
Lineage: Bacteria
Description: partial 16S ribosomal RNA
Rfam family: Bacterial small subunit ribosomal RNA
Source: RNAcentral